AACCCAGUCGUUCCGAUGGCGGCCGGUAUCCCGCUCCGUCGCGCCAGAAAAUCUCCCCGGCGACGAGGAGCUACCAGGUGUCGACGUGUUCAUCCCCACAGCGGAUCCGGCGAAAGAGCCGACAGUGGAGGUGAUGAACACCGUGUUGUCGUCUCUGGCUCUGGAGUAUCCAGCGGAGAAGGUGGGCGUCUACCUGUCGGACGCCGGCGGACGCUGUAUGCAUUAAAAGAAACUUUUCUACAAUAUCAGAAAGAAUGAUAUCUAUGACAACCAAUCCCGGUCUGGUUUCAAGACCAAGUGGCGUGGAAUGGAUGGGGUAAGAGGGCCGGUGUUGUCCGGAACUGGAUAUCUCUUGAGGAGGAAGGCGUUGUUUGAUUCAGAGCCACAGAAAGCUCUUGGUCGAUCCCAAAAGUUCAUUGACUCGUUGAAUGCAAAAAAGGAGUAUCAGUGCGUAUCUGCUGCAAUGCAGAGGAUGGAGUUGUGUUUACCUGUACUCAAAGCGGGCAUGCUUCCUGGGUUGCAGCCCAGUCGACAUGAAAGACGCCAUGGUUCAGAUGCUAAAAAUGGAGCUCAGAGUUGUUCCAAGUUGCUUUAUCUAAGUAUAGUCCUCUCACAUACGGUGUCUCAAGGAUGUCAAUUCUCCAAAGCAUGGCCUACGCCUACUUCACAUUCUCCUCCCUGCCUUCAGUUGCUUUCGUCUUGUAUGGGGUGGUUCCUCAAUGGGGCUUCCUGAAAGGCAUCC
Molecule: long non-coding RNA, 742 nt
Organism: Cucurbita moschata (crookneck pumpkin)
Lineage: Eukaryota; Viridiplantae; Streptophyta; Magnoliopsida; Cucurbitales; Cucurbitaceae
Exons: 3
Source: RefSeq, a predicted model, not a curated record